RNAcentral lists this transfer RNA (76 nucleotides) under Clostridiales bacterium. RNAcentral describes it as "tRNA-Thr". It matches the Rfam family "tRNA". Rfam says of the family: Transfer RNA (tRNA) molecules are approximately 80 nucleotides in length. The record is from RNAcentral. Lineage: Bacteria; Bacillati; Bacillota; Clostridia; Eubacteriales. RNAcentral also lists the same sequence under 1 other name.
GCUGGUGUGGCUCAGUCGGUAGAGCAGCUGAUUCGUAAUCAGCAGGUCGCAGGUUCGAAUCCCGUCACCAGCUCCA